UACGUAGGGUGCAAGCGUUGUCCGGAAUUAUUGGGCGUAAAGAGCUCGUAGGCGGUUUGUCGCGUCGAAUGUGAAAACCCGGGGCUCAACUUCGGGCUUGCGGUCGAUACGGGCGGGCUAGAGUUCGGUAGGGGAGACUGGAAUUCCUGGUGUAGCGGUGAAAUGCGCAGAUAUCAGGAGGAACACCGGUGGCGAAGGCGGGUCUCUGGGCCGAUGACUGACGCUGAGGAGCGAAAGCGUGGGGAGCGAACAGG
This 254-nucleotide ribosomal RNA is filed under the name uncultured bacterium. RNAcentral describes it as "partial 16S ribosomal RNA". It matches the Rfam family "Bacterial small subunit ribosomal RNA", at positions 524 to 776 of the family's 1533-position model. The record is from RNAcentral.